UGCAUGCCGGGAUGAGGGAGGGGCCCUGAGCGCAGCCAUGUUUUUGUACGGCGGGGGCGCAAAGCACUCUGGGUCCGAUUGGUUUGAUUUUUUUUUGAAGGCUUGGACGGCGGGAACUCUCGUCCUCGUCCUGGGUGAGCGAGAGGAGCGGAGCAAGGAAAUCUGGGUCCCUAUUGCCGCUUUGCUGCCCAACUUCAUAGGAGGGCCUGUGGAAGUCUGAGGAUGGAGUGGGCGAAUGACGGCAAGUCCGAAGGAGGUGUUUUAGCUCACUUGGAAAGACUAGAGAUUCAAGUGAAGAGAUCCCGUAAAAACGUAGAAGAUCCGCAGAGAGCACAGGCAGUUGAAAGCGCUCUUGGGACCAAGAUUCAUAAACUGCGGUGUCUGCGGGAUGAGCUGAGAGCUGAAGUGAAGCAGCAUCAAGCCAGAGUUAAAGCAUCUACUGUCAAUGUAGAACCUGACCAAACACUGGAAAUCAGUGAGGAAGAAGUUGCGGAAAGAAGAAAGGAAAAUGUGAAAGCCAUUCUGCAGGCAUAUCGUUUUACAGGGCUCAGUGGGAAACUGACCAGCCGAGGGGUCUGUGUGUGCAUCAGCACUGCUUUUGAAGGAAAUCUGCUGGAUUCCUAUUUUAUCGACCUUGUCAUACAAAAGCCACUUCGGAUACAUCACCAUUCAAUUCCAGUCUUCAUUCCCCUAGAGGAGAUAUCUGCAAAAUACUUACAGACUAAUAUUCAGCACUUCCUGUUCUGUCUUUGUGAAUACCUAAACGCUUAUGCUGGGAGGAAGUACCAGGCAGAUCGACUUCAGAGUGACUUUGCAGCCUUUCUGGCUGGGCCCUUGCGGAGAAACUCACUGUGCAACUUGCUGUCGUUUACUUACAAAGUGGAGCCACGGGGCCAGUCGUUCCCAUUUUGUGCCAGGCUGCUGUAUAAGGACCUCACGACAGCCCUGCCAACUGACGUCACCGUUACGUACCAGGGAAUGGAUGCAUUAUCCCCUGCCUGGGAAGAACAGCGAGCAUCCCAUGAAAAUCUGUUUUUUUCAAAGCCCCUACAUCAAGUGUUUACUUCAUUUGCAAGAAAAGGAGAAAAGUUGGAUAUGAGCCUGGUCUCCUAGAAUAUUUUCAUUGGGAAUACGUCAGAAGUAAAAGGAAAUAUUGCACUUUCUGCUCUCAUGACUAAGGUGGCAGGGGUUCCAGAAGAACCUUUCAAGAUUAUCAGGAACAUCAGCAUGAGGGCCAGUUCACCUAACCCGGACCACAUGGAGACGAGCAGGUCUCCAGCUUGAAAGACUGCUUCAGGUGAGCGCUGGGGAGCAGAACACUUGCCUGCUCAGCUGUCAAGUCCUGCCGAGUCCUCGUCUGAAGCCCAGCUCUCCCAUCUGUGCUCCCAGCCCAGAAGCAAAGGCAGCUUUGUUCCACCUUGGACACAUUUCCUGCUCACAGUGGCCGUGGCCUCUCUGGGGGAAGGAGGGCUGGUCAGACCCAGAGCCCUGGAAGGAUUGUUCCAGUACUACACCUAAGACCCCUACUCUCUGAGGAAGCUACAGGCACACUGAGGAAUAGUAUGGCCGCCCUCAGAGCUCACGUAUCCAUGAACAAAUGAAGACUUGAGGAGAUUUUUAAACCUAAAGUCUAUGUGAGUGUGCACUUCAAUUUGGGAAUGCUGGGACUUGGUCAUGUGUCCUUUCCCAAGGCCUUUCUGUGAUUCCAAAAAAUGGGUUCUCCCUUCCCAUUUGGACUGUGGUGGGGCUGGAGGCCAUUCAGGAGUUGUCCACCACCUGGUGGGGCAGGGUGACCGAGGAGCCGUUAGGGAAGGCAGCUGGCUUCUCACGCCCCUUCAGGAAAAAGGUUAGCAGUUCCCCCUUCCCUUUCACAAAGAUGGGCCCUCGCCUCACAAAGCGGAAGCCGUACUCUCGGAGGAUGGCUUGUGUUUCUUCCACCACCUGUAGAGGGGGAACAUCGCGUGAGCUCCGAGCAGGGCAGCAGGUCCCAGAGAGCCGGCCCCGUCUGCGCACCAGCGGGCACAGCCGGAGCGCUCGCCACAGUGCUUGCUGUCCCUGGAGGACGGCCUCAGGUUGCCUGCGGCAGCAUCACUCCCUCUUCCUUUGUCCCCUCUCCCCGCUUUGUGGCGCUUUCCUGCCAGACCCAGCUGGCCCGGCUUGGGGAGACUCCAGGGGGGAUUGUUGGAGGCACGAGAUCAGAAAGUUCAUACCAAAAGGCAGGAUAGUCUUACCAAGAAGUUAAGCCUAAAUUUCGGAAAGGGGAGUGAAGUAUUUCCUCCCUUCCCCUGGGGCAGCUCUUGCCACCCUUGCCUGCAGUCUCCCAGAACCACCCCCUCGACACUCCGGGCUGACAGAAAGGCGGCAGAAGGGCACGGCGACACGCCCUCAUCCGCUUUUGUUCCCGGCCCCCGGGCCUGAGCUCACGCUCUGCUCUGCUGCUGGACAUACCUGAAUGUUGCCCAUGACCCCUGUGGACUCCAUCCUGCUGGCCACAUUGACCGUAUUGCCCCAGAUGUCAUAGUGUGGUUUCCGGGCUCCAAUGACCCCAGCCAGGACCCCUCCUUUGUUCAUGCCUGGUGGAGGGACAUAAAAUGGAGCACAGCCACGAGCCAUAUUUUGUCCCCUUCACUGUGCCAUCUCAGAAGCCACCAGCCCCUCUCCCAGAGAAUCCACCACCUGGCCCCAACCACAGAGCUCCUGAGUCUGCCAACCUACUCCUCAUGAAGCUGGUCCUGAAGCCACCAGGGGGCAGAUGCGUCCCCUGUUUAUCCUGUCCUGGCCCGUACGCUAACUAAUUCAUGCAGUAUGGAAGCUGCCAGCUUCACACCUGUCUGGUACUUGAGGUGAGCUCCUCCAGAAGUGAGAAUCCCACCUCCACCCCCCACAGUGGGGACAGCAGGGGACAUUAACAGGCUGGACCGAGGCAGCAAAGCUCUCCGCAGGCGUGCAGGACCGCCUGGGGAGGUGGACAGCCUGCCUUCGCGGCCACACUCAGAAGUCAGGCUAAUCGCGGCGAACGGUGUGGGACACACACAGCUGGCCCUCAUUUCACCAGAUGCGCCGUCCGAUGACCGGGAAGAGAUCCCUAAGGUCCCAGAGCCGUGCCUGUGUGACCCUCCCCACCCUAAAUGCCUCCAGGGCUAAGUCUCGCCCUUCCUGCUGAUGUGCCGAGUCCCUCGCAUCAGGGAGCGCGGCAGGGAGCACCCAGGCCCGAGAACUCUUACCGAUGCGCAGCAUGAAGUUGUUGAAGGACUGGUUGUUGAUGUUUGUGAGCGUAUCCUUCAUGGCCAGGGCAAAGUCGGCCAGAUCGGCCAGGUGCUGCCAGCGCUCCUUGUCUGACUUCUCCUCCUGGGCCGGGGAGCAGCGGCGAGGGCGUCAGGAGCCUGUACGGGCCCCUCGCUCCCCGUCACGGCGUUCUGCAGGUGAAUUCCUGCACCGCGUCGUCCGAGGCCUUAUUCUCCACUUCCCACAGACGAGUCCGUGACCUCGACCUCGGCUUGUCACUGACCGCUCCCCUGCAUCCCUUAGGGCCCGCAGGUGGGGAAGAGCGGUCCGGGCCAGCUACAUCGCUUCCUGUCUGCCAUCAUCCCCGCACCUGAACCUGCGCUCUGAAUUUGGGAUAGUUCUCACUUGCAUUCCUUAACUAGAUUAUAAGCCCUUGGAGGUUAUGACCCAUCUUAGACACAUUUCUUUAGCCUCAUCCAUAAAAUGGAGAUGGUAGUAGUACUUAUAUAGGACAGUUGUAAGAUAAAAUAGGAUGAGAACAGUCUAAGAACAGCUGUUAGGACCAGGGCGCCCACAGCUCAUUUCCUCUCAUAAACAGCUAGCUCCACAGGUCUGAUAUAACAAACAACAGGCUGACGCCAGCCAGUGAGCUCCGAAGACCCCUUUCCUAUCAGAACUACUCCCAACCUGGAUGUUUUCAUUGUUACGUAAUUGCUCGAUGGUCGCCACUCCCCAGUUCUUUCAAAAGUCUAGAGCAUGAAGGAAGCAUUGCCACGAUUAGAGCAGUUAUGUCUGGCCUAAGCUGUGCACCAGUGGGGGGGUUGUGUAGGCUAUUCUUUCUCUGCUUGUGAAACUUGGCCAGUAAAUAGGAUUUUAAAUUUGCAUCACAUGGUGCCGGUGGUGUGUGUGUGACCCGCUGACCCAGCGGUGCUCACUAGCAUCAGCUACCCUUGCGACUCCUUGUCUCACACGCUAGGUGUGGACGGCCGCGCUCUUGCCCCAGGAGGCAGGGCCCCAUCUCCUCCAGCCGUGGGGUGGGCAGCUACCUUGUUGGAGCUGGCAAAGCCGUUGGUGUUGACAUCGGGGGUGACUCCUGAAGCUGCCAUGUAGGUACUGCCAAUGGUUUUGAUCUUGGUGAUGACCCGGAAUUUGGGAUUGUCCAGGAGCUGAGGCCAGUAUCAAAGGAGAGAGAAAGGUCAGCAGAGUCCAGGGAGAGAAGUGAGCCAACUAAGUGGCAGAUGUGCCUGUUUACAACCACCCCAUAAGACAUCCAAGAGAUGCUUUCCUAAAAACUAUCAAUUCUGCCACUUAGCGGUCACAUCAUGUAGGUAGACUUGCUGAUGGAGCCUCUGCUUCUAUGACCUUAACAUGGGACAAAACUGCCAGGCCCCUGGGGUGCUUGAGCGUAUACGUAAAAGUAUUUUCCUUGGUGAUACAAGUUACCUAAUAAAUAUUUACUGAAUCUGAAUUUGAGGGUAGGAGGAAUCCAGUGCCUCAGGAUCUUGUUUGGGCCAGUCCUUAUGCUGUGAUCUUGUAGGCAGCUUCCCGGGCUCCUGUCUUUCCCACUCAGAGCCCCCAGGCAGCAGAAGCCCCCAUGUUACCGGGAGAAGCUCAUACGGGAAAACAGAGCAGCAAGGGUAACUACCAUUUCUCUGAUCCCUGCAGCCUGUCCUGAGGUAGAACCUGGAAAGAGCUGGCUUUGGGGCAGGAGAGGGGCAGGAUGGGCACUCACAGAAUCAAAAUCUGAGAUGAUCUCAUUGAGGAAGCGCAGACACUCAAUGCCACCAUUAUUGAUGCUCUCUUCCGUGUAGAAGUCGGCAAAGUUGGGCAGAGAGGCAAACAUGACUCCAAUCUCAUCGUAAGACUGGCUGUACAGCUCCUAAGAAGAGGCAGGGCCAGAGUGCUCAAAGAAACGCUGCUGGAAUGGCGUGCCCCAGAAACGACUCUGUCUUCCACACCCAUGAUCGGUGUCCUUAGCUUUUUGGAUGGACAUCCCAACUUUGCAUUAUAAGGAAGUGGCUCAUCGCAACUUCAAACAAGUAAAGUUUCUCUGGGCCCUGUAACAGCCCCAGCUUUGAGAAACGGUGGAAGUGAGGCUAAGAACCCUUCUGUGUGAGGAGAUCACAGCUGACAGAGGUUGGGGACUUCCAGGGAUGUGUGGCCCACAGAAAACAUCUAAGCGGUGCCCUUUACCGGAAGCCUGUGACAUGUUACAGUCGCCACUUGCGUGCAGCCCAGCCCGGACCAGUGCCCGCUCCUGAGGAGGCCUUGGGCCCAGAUGGGCUGGCGAAAGCAAGCCGGAUGAAGACACAUAGCCUCGUGGCUGCCGGCUACUGUGUGAGGCCACCCCUCACCUCAUCUCUCUUCUUGGACCCCAGGAAAUGGCGUGCCACGUGCUCAGGCAACAUGUUGGUGACCAAGGCCUCAUUCCAGCGCCGCAUCUCGUAGACACGUUCCUUCUGGUCGUGGACCUCGAUCUUCCACAAGAACAGUGUCCUUGCCAGUUUUUCUACCUGUGGACGGACACAGGCAAGGUGUGUGCUUUAGCCGGCCAUGUGAAGGAAAGACGAAGAAGAGAACUUGGAGGGGUUCCACGGGGAAACACUGGCAGGAAGACUACUAAAUAGCAAGGGAAAGACGACGCAAAGAGACCCACCGACUGAAAAAGGCCACCCUGCAGCUACAGUGGGGUUCCCGGCCUCGCCGUGGUUCUGCAGAGCGCCGAGAGCCUUCUGGGUACAUGGGAGGCUCCCCUAAAUCUGGGACCUCAUUCUAGCGACGGGUCUGUCUUGGAGGCGGAUGGCAGCCGUGGGGAUCUGCCAGCCUAGGGUGAAGUCCCCACUUCCGCCAGGCUCCAUCGGGCUAGAGAAGGCUGUACUUUCCCUGGCAAACCACUGGGGGGCACUUGGGCUCACGGGGAGCUAGUUCCCCGCCCUCUCUCUCUGCUUGCUUCUUUUACCUCUUCCUUGGAACCAAACAAAACUUCAUCAGCUUCUUUCCCUUUCUCUCCUGGCUCCAUGGUGAGUGUGUGAGUAAGUCCCAGAGCCAGGGUGGGUGAAAAUCCAGGGGCCCCUGGCCUAGGAAACAUGUUCUCCAAGCUUUUAGCCUGCUCUGUAUGCUGCUGCAGCAUGUGCCGGAGGCGAUCAGGAGAAGAGGGCAAGGACGGGCCUUGUACGGCGAGGGAGGGAACCGGAAAGCGGAGGGACGGUGGCCCAGCCAGGGCCACGUGCUGGGCUGGGUAAGGGAAGCCAGCAUUCCCAAGGAGCCUGCGUUCUUGGGCCGAGACUGCUUUCUCAGGAGGCCCCACUGGCUUGUAUGCGAGGGGGAGGGGAGGGUGUGCAGGCACUCACGUGGCGUGAGAAGUAGUAGAAGCUCAGCAUCAUGACGAAGAUCAUCAUGGUCAUGGAGUACUUAGAAGGCACCAGGGGCAGGCUGCGGGGCAGAGAGGAGUUUGAUUCCCUCCAACGGGGCUGGGCCUUUCCUGUCACCCUGGGCCAGAAACUCCUCCCAGCUCGUUAAGCACCUUCACAUCAAGUCCGGACUCCCACAGGUGAAUCUUUCUUAAACCACUGGGCUCCCAAUAGGCAGCCCAGCCCUGGCCCCUCCUGGAAUCCACCCGAGGGCGCCCCAGAUGUUUCAUAAAUACUGUAGGUGUGACCACGGAAGCCUCUGGAGAGAGACUAGCGUUGCAGUGAUGGGACGAUGGCACCAUUUAUGAUUCUUUUUUAAUAACUUCACAUUUUUGUAUGGAGCUACAGUUUUCAUUACUAUACAGUAGUCUGUUGUAUGAAUAGAUCACAACUUGUGUCCCCAUUUGCUGUUGAUGUGGUUUGGGUUGUUUUCAUCUGCUUUGGAUGUUUUGUGUGUAUGUGUAGCUAUGAUGAACAACGUGACUGGACAAUCCUACACACACAUCCUGGGAUGCAGAGGUGUGCACGGACUUCUGUAAAGUGUAAGGGCGCAGUGGAAUUGCUGGGUCCUAGGUCUAUUUGCAACUUUACUGAAUAACUCCAAAUUGUUUUCUAAAAUGGUUGUACCAAUUUAUACACCCAUCAGGAGUGAGUUACCGUUGUACUUGAUGUUACCAGACUUCUUCAUUCUUGCCAAACUGGUAGGUGUGUAGUGGUCUUUUGUUGUGGUCCUGGUUUUCACAUCCUUGAUUACAUGAAUGCCUCUCAUUUAUUAGUGGCCAUUUAGAUUUCUUCUUUUGUGAAGGACCUAUUCAUUUCUUCUGCCCUCAUUCUGUUAGGUAAUCUAUUUUUUGUUUCCUUUAACUUACUUGAAGGUCUAAUUAAGUCACUGAAUCACAAAAUUCUAAAACUUUAGAACUAGAAGGGACCUUGGAGAACUUCUAGUCCAAUAUCCUUUUCAAGACAUGAAACAGACUCAAAAACUGGCCUGCCUGCAGCCCCAGAGACAGCCCAGCAGCAGGGGGCAAAGCCUCAUCUUCCAGAUCCUCUGGGCCGGGUGCAGGGCUCUUCCCUCAUUUCUCUGUGGUCUGUCCCGCCGGUUCCCGCUCUCCUCACCUCAACCCAGCCCCCGUCCCACCCCCUAAACCACACUGCUGCUCCUCCCCUGGCUCACUCUGAGCCCGGAUGGGCCGCGACAGCCGGGUCCAUACUGAGGUCAUUCUACCUCUGGCUCCAGCCCUCCUGUGGAAACACAUACUAACUUCCCUAAUGAAUAUCCCACAUCGUAUGCCUCUGAAGGGGUGAGAUCACGGCCUUCUCUUGCUUCCAGAAGAGAGAGUGCGGACCAGAAAGGGGAAAGCCGCUGCCCUCACCUGCCAGUGCCGUUGAGCCCAGGGGUGGAAAAUCCCUGCAUCUUCUCUAAGGCGACCACGGGAAAGCUGCAGGACAGAGGCGCAGACUCAGGCCCCACCUGGGGACAAGCGGCUGAUGCCCAGUGGCCAAACACGGAUCAUCCACUCAUCAAGAAUGGAAAGGAUCUACCCCAGGAUCACAGCCAACUAGUGGCAUCUCUGUCAGAAGCCACGAACCCCGAUUCCCAUACCGUCCUUUGUUGAGCCCCAGGCCCGUGACCUUGAAGUGGGGACUUGGGGGUGGGAGGAAGGAGACAAUACAGAUCCCCAAGUAGGCUUCAUCUUACUCAUGUUCCUGAAAACGUCUACGGUCGUAUUCAUCAAAGAUGGGGCGCCAGGCAUAGAUGUUGAUGACGGCCACGGCCCCGGUGACGAGCAGCAUGAGUGUGAGCUUCACCAUGUGGCUGACCUGCACCAGCAUGAUGGUGGCAAUGAGGGACAGCACGGCGACAUAGUUGUAAUACUUGGGGUUCUCUACGCAGCCAUCCUCCGCCUCCAGCCCUGCGGUGCUGUUGUUCGGUCCCGUGUAGUACUGGAGACAGCUGAGCUGGAGGCCAGGCCCGGGGCGCAGGGAGGACAUGGGGUGCAAGGGAACAACAGACACUGGUCAGAGGCGGCUGGGUCGUGGCCACCACGUCCCACAGCUCCCUCGGGAACACUGACAGACGGGACAACUGACCGAGGAACAGAAUACAAACGUUAGUAAUGCCCACUAAGAGCUGAACCGUAUCUUAUUUGAUGUUUAUGAAAAUUCUCGAGCGUCUCUAGGACUGCCACCUUUACAGCAGAGCCGAAGGGACUGGCCUGGUGCCGAGCAGUGCACUCAGCAGGCGGUAGAGUCAGAGCGAGGAGUGCAGUUUUUAGGUUUCACAUACAACACGCUCUUGCCCACGGCACAGUGUUGCUUAAGGAGGGGCCGUGGGGCCAGCCAGGGAGCCUCCGUCACGGCUUCGCGGCCUGGCAGCCAGUCUCUGCUCAGACGCUUCGGUUUCUGGGGCCUGCUCCCGCCGCUGGGCAGACGGAAGUCAAUGGCAAGUGCCUCCAUCAACUGAAGCCAACCUACUUCCUGUAACUUCCACCCACUCGUGGAAGGUGCUCGUCUGGCUCUGGGAAGUUCUCAGCAUGUGAGAGGUUUUCAUACCUCCCUGGUCUUUCACCCCUCCCCUGGCAACAGGAUCUCGAGAUGUCCUGCAUAGAGUCCGUGACCCUGGUAAACAGUGGUCCCCAGACCCGGCACCAGGCUCCAGGUGUGCUCAGCCAGGUUAGGGGCUCGGGCUUCUCUUCCCUGCGCUUGGGCACCAUGCGACAAGGGGCACAUUAGGUUCUGCAGCUCCUGAGUUCUAGUUGGACUUCGGAUCAACUGGCCCAAGGGAUAAGUCUCCAUGAGGAGAAGCAUCGGCUCUAAAAAUAUGAAUCCAGACUGUGAUUACAUGGCCAUCAGCCCAAAUAACAAUGGACACUGGGCUCAUGAGAGCUGUGUGUACGGGUCCAAGAGAGCCCGGCCUUAAGCUUGGGUGCACCGCUGGCUGACGAUAGGACCCAUGUCACUCAUGUUCCCCAGCUCCAACUUUCUUCUCUGUAAAAUGACGUGGAAGGUCUGUUCUAGUACCAAGAACCUCUGUCCCCGAAGCAUCUGCUGGAGAGUGUGGCUAAUUAUGAGGAUGGAAGAACCACAGGCUGCUAAAACUAUCUGCGCCCUCGUUGCUGAGUUACAUCAGCACGUGAUCUAGAGGCACCAGGGCAGCAAGAAUGGGGUUGCUGCCAACGAGCUCACCUCGGCAGGCAGAGGUCCCUGUCCCACAGCAUCUGCCCUCAUCAGUGAGCGUACUUGGGCAGCUCUUUAGUAAAGGACAGGUCCUGGAUGCUCUCCCAAGAUGGACCCUGUCCUCGGGGGUGGGUAGCACGUUCACUCCUCUGGAAAUCCCCCAUCUGUGCCUGGGACUUGUGGUGUCUGGACCUCACCAGAGAGGUGAGCCCACCCUGAAGUCUCACUUCCAAAACAGUCUCAUCAGAUCCUACAGAAUUUUCCACGGAUGUCCUCACUGCCCUCAAAGCCACAGGAUUCUGGUACAGGAGAGCUACACAAGGCCUCAGAGCUGAGCACCUCUUCUGACCCUCCCCACCCCCACCCCAGUAGCUACUGAGACAGUGGGGCCAGGGUAGGAGGUGAUGCCCAAGGUGACACCACUGAGAAGGAGCGGAGCAUGGGCCAGUGGCCAGGUGUCCUACUCCCGCACAGGACACUUCCGACAGCAACCUUCACCUCCCUGCCCCCUGCCACGCCCUGGCCCUCACCGUACGCACCUGGCCAUCCUGCUCGUCAGGCUCCCCCGAUGUGGAGCCGCUGGUGUGGAUGCUCCCGUUGGGCUCCUUGGUCUCAAUGAGGGCGGGGGAGCUGGGCUUGGAGGAAGCUGGCGCUCCGUUUCGCAGGGCCUGCAGCGGGAAGAAGUGGCCAUCAGAAACCCCAGACACAGUCUGCCCACCCGCCCCAGCGGGCCUGGUUGGUCUACUGUCGGUCUGAAAUCUUGCCAUGAGAGUUUAGAAGCCUGCAGGCUAAGAACUGUCCUACCUGACUCCUCCUCUAGAACGCUGGUUUUAAACGCCGUACACUCCUGGUGUCUAUUUCUACUACUAGAAUUUUUCUAAGUAAAGAAAGACCCUCCUG
Mirounga angustirostris (Northern elephant seal) is the source of this 10712-nucleotide RNA transcript. It is a transcript of the gene named centromere protein O, with no coding region annotated. The transcript is spliced from 10 exons. The record is from RefSeq and is a predicted model, not a curated record. NCBI's taxonomy places the organism in Eukaryota, Metazoa, Chordata, Mammalia, Carnivora, Phocidae.